RNAcentral lists this ribosomal RNA (253 nucleotides) under uncultured bacterium. Its description in RNAcentral is "partial 16S ribosomal RNA". It matches the Rfam family "Archaeal small subunit ribosomal RNA", at positions 474 to 727 of the family's 1478-position model. The record is from RNAcentral.
UACCAGCACCCCGAGUGGUCGGGACGAUUAUUGGGCCUAAAGCAUCCGUAGCCGGUUUUACAAGUCCUCCGUUAAAUCCAGCUGCUUAACGGAUGGGCUGCGGAGGAUACCGCAGAGCUAGGAGGCGGGAGAGGCAAACGGUACUCAGUGGGUAGGGGUAAAAUCCAUUGAUCUACUGAAGACCACCAGUGGCGAAGGCGGUUUGCCAGAACGCGCUCGACGGUGAGGGAUGAAAGCUGGGGGAGCAAACCGG